UGCAAGUCGAACGGAAAUUGAGCAUAGCUUGCUAAGCUCAAUUUUAGUGGCGGACGGGUUAGUAACACGUGAGAUACAUACCCUUUAGACAGGAAUAGCCCAUGGAAACGUGGAUUAAUGCCUGAUAGUCUCUACGGAGUAAAUGGCGCCUUCGGGUGUCGCUAAAGGAUUGGCUCGCGGCCUAUCAGUUAGUUGGUGAGGUAAAGGCUCACCAAGACUACGACGGGUAGCUGGUCUGAGAGGACGAUCAGCAACACUGGAACUGAGACACGGUCCAGACACCUACGGGUGGCAGCAGUCGAGAAUCAUUCACAAUGGACGCAAGUCUGAUGGUGCAACGCCGCGUGGAGGAUGACGGCCCUAGGGUUGUAAACUCCUGUCAUUGGGGAGUAAGACUUGGUUGUUAAUAGCCUCCAAGUUUGAUAGUACCCAAAGAGGAAGGGACGGCUAACUUCGUGCCAGCAGCCGCGGUAAUACGAAGGUCCCAAGCGUUGUUCGGAAUAACUGGGCGUAAAGCGUGUGUAGGCUGCGCGGAAAGUCAAAUGUGAAAGCCCAGGGCUUAACCCUGGAACUGCAUUCGAUACUCCCGUGCUAGAGUAAUGGAGAGGUAAGUGGAAUUCUCGGUGUAGCAGUGAAAUGCGUAGAUAUCGAGAGGAACAUCAAUGGCGAAGGCAACUUACUGGACAUUUACUGACGCUCAGACACGAAGGCUAGGGGAGCGAAAGGGAUUAGAUACCCCUGUAGUCCUAGCAGUAAACGGUGCUCGCUUGGUGUGGGAGGGUUCGACCCCUUCUGUGCCGGAGCUAACGCGUUAAGCGAGCCGCCUGGGAAGUACGGUCGCAAGACUAAAACUCAAAGAAAUUGACGGGGACCCGCACAAGCGGUGGAGUAUGUGGCUUAAUUCGAUGCAACGCGAA
RNAcentral lists this ribosomal RNA (917 nucleotides) under uncultured bacterium. Its description in RNAcentral is "bacterial SSU rRNA". It matches the Rfam family "Bacterial small subunit ribosomal RNA", at positions 56 to 965 of the family's 1533-position model. The record is from RNAcentral.